GUGAUAUAUCGUUUGUUUCUAUACGUGAAAUAUCAAAAAAAAAAAAAACACAUAAACUGUCCUGUCAAAGUAAAUGGAGAUAGCGUCAAAAGCAAGGCAGAAACACUGUGUUGUGCUUUUCUGCUGUUGUUGUAGCAAUAUAUUGAUGUGUGCACCAUGACCAGGACCAUGUUUGCUGAGUACCAGAGUCAAUAGCUGCUCAGCAUCCUGGGUAAAUUCCCAUCAUUACAUCUCACCAACUUCUUCACAUAGGCAGCAUCCUCUCCUUUCUGUUCACUUCUGCUUGGCAAUCAAUUUAGGGAUUUUGAAAUGUAUGCAGAGGCAGAGAUGGUAUAUCGAUCCCUAAAAUUCAUGUAUCAUCAAUGGUAGCUAAUGAUUGCUACCUAUAACUCCUGCUGCAAUGGACACAAAGAAUACCUAUUGGCUGAUUUUCUAUUUUUUGAGUGAGUGGAUUGGGAGGUAUUUUCAGUUUUAAGGAAUCAAUCGAGUAUUUCAACCAACGAGGGCAGGAAAAUUAUGUAAGAUGCUUUCCAGUGGUUUGAGUAUCAAGAAAAUCUUAUGUUAAAAGAGGCAUUAAGUUUCACAUUAUCAACUAUUAUAAGGAAGAAUCUUCUCUAUGCUUGUUCUUUUACACUUAAUGCCCAAACUUAUCUCCUUUUCUCUCCCAACCCUGUCUCUUCAUCUUUCUCCAUAGUAUUAUUUUGCCUUAUAAUAUUUGUGUUCAAAAUACAAUACUUUUCUUCAAGCAAGCAAGAAUGGAAACAAAUCUGCCUGUGGCACCCAGCAUGUGCUUUCAAUUCCAGACAUGCCUUUUGCAUGUGGUUUUUCGUAUGUAAUGAUGACUCUGAGGUCAGACCCAUCAGGUUUCCUAUUUCUCAAAUCACUGAACUAACAAACUGCAGCCUCUCACUUAGCAUGUUGGUCAAAACAACACUGUGUUUCUGCUCUGCCUUUUCAAUAAGCGCGUGCUUUCCCUUUGCACUCCAUGGAAAUGAAAAACACGUUUCUCUACCAAACCACUACCCUAUAUCAAGCAGACACACACAUCAUGGUCCAGUGUGGUUACUAUCUUUAUAUUAUAAGACAACCCUACAACUGAUGAUUGGAUAAACCAAAAUAGAGAAUAAACUUGCACAAUAAGAGAGGUUUGAUAAGUCUGUAGAUUUUGACAUAGUUUGGGAUUUGGGGUUUACAUAUGUAAUGAUUUCAUAUUCCAAAUUCUUUGACUAAGCACUUUUAUACUUUUAAAAUGCUAAUGUAUUAGUUCAAAUUCUAUUCUCAGAUUGGAAAUCUUCAAUUAUGCAUAGCAUUUUAAUUUCCUAAAUGUUUAAUGUAUACACAUUAACAAACAAAACUCCAGCAAUAACAAAGUGACCCCCACAAACUCUACAAAUACUUGUCCCACUGAAUUGGAAAUUGAGAUUACUGUCUGGGCAUUGGAGUCUCAUGAAACCAUCAGUCAGAUAAGCACACUGAGUAGGACCAGCCUGAAGUUUAAUUGAUACAAUGUGAAGGCAAAGUAAAAUAAUAAGCCCAGAAUCCAGGAGCUUAUUCAGGAAAGCUUUUAGAUUUUUCAGGAUGUGACAAAAAUAUUUAGUAAUUGGUGACUAAUGUCGGACAUUUUGGAAUUUCCUAACAAUGAAAAAUGUCAACCAACCUGAGCCUCAUUAAAGGCCAAGGGGAUAUGGACGUGAUUGUGGAUGAGGGAGUUUUAACUUUUUAUGCAGUGAGUGUUUAGCCUACAUAGACACGAAUGCACUCUGUGUGUGUGUGUGUGUGUGUGUGUGUGUGUGUGUGUGUGAAGCCUUUAGAGGUCAGAAGAAGGCUUCAGAGCUUCUGGUGCCAGAGUUAUUGAUGGUUGUGAGCCACCAUGUGAGUGCUGAGAAUUGAACUUGGGUCCUCCAUAACAGCAACAGAUGCUCUCAACAGCUAAGCCAACUGUUCCACUCAGAUCAGGGAUUUUUAAAGACCAAGUGGUCUCAAAAAUAGCUCUAAAAAUUACCAGCAGUAUGAAUAUUUUCUUGUUGUUUAAGCACCCAUGCCUACUUUAUUUCAGCCUCCCUUUCCUUUUUUGGUGAUAAAAUUUAAAGUUUAAGUUUCUAUUGUAUCAUAUGAAUAAUGAGUUAUGAAAUGACUACAACAAGAAUAUUAACAUCACAAAAACUAGAUAUGAAACUCAAAUAUUAACUAUUGAAAUUUUAUUUUCAGUGUUUGGUGCAAGACAAACAUCCUCAUAUAUAUGAAAAUCAAUUUCAGCCCAUCAGAUGUGUUGAAAGAAUUGGUUUUACUAUGUAGAAAUAAUUGUUACAAUUUCAUUAUCAUUAAAUUCAAUAUGGAAGAGCACUGGGGCAACUUGCCUCCAAGGUUUAUAUGCAGGUCUCAAAGGAGACAUAUUCACUUCAGUUUUCUGUCAUGAUAAUAAUGAUGUCUCCUUAUAUGAAUUAAUCCCAGAAAAUUCACCAUCAGUGCAUGACUUCCCACUACUCAAUACCUAGGUAUUUAUGUUGCUGAAUUUCUAGUUUGAAAUUCCAUAGCUGGUUUCUGUUGUCUUGGAUAAUCCCUAUGUAUAUACUCAUAUUGUCAAAUUUUCUGCCUUCAACUAUAUAAGCAUAAUGAUUAAAUCAUAAAUUAUAUUUGCUGACAAUGCCUCUAGAAAAAUGUGUUAAAUGAAUAUCUGCCUUCUUGUACUUUGUUCUGUUGAAGUUACCCAAUAUUCUGGAAUCAACUCUAAAAUUACUUCUUAAAUUAUAAAUGAUUACUUCUUUAUAUGACGUUUGUAUUUUAGGCAAGAUUUAUGUUACUAUGGGCUAGGGAUACAUCUCAGAUACAAACACUUGCCUAACAUGCUCAUCUUCACCUCUCAGCACUCAAAAAUAGUAAUGAUAAUAAUUUUUUUGUAUUUAUUCAGCGAUCUUCCUUAUUACAAAUCCUGACUUCAAACUGGGUUUGUUAUUGUCUCCCCUCCCAAAAUAUGGAUUUCUAAAAGACUAUGGAGCUGGAUGCCUAUACGAUGCCAAAGUGAUGCUUGAGCCUUGUUUUAUGCCUCAUAACAACAAUGUCAGUUGGAGUUUGGCUCUAUACUUAAAAGGAUCAAGCAACAGAGAGCUAAAAUGUAUGGGUGGAAGUUACCAGCAGGGGCUUGUCCGAACUGUGUCUUACCUUUGUCCUCGGCGUUUCUCAUCAACACCCAUCUCGGGCAGGGCAGGCAUUGCGAUGGACACCUGCAAGGGUAGUCGGCACUUUCUUGCUGAUGUUCACAGAUGCCCGUGCCCCUUCACCUUCAUCUGAAGGGUGCAACCUUGCGACAGAGGAGCAAAAGGAAACAGACUGGUGCUUAGCAUGCUUCCUAGUAAGAUGAAUGCCAUGAGUGGUUGUCUUUAAAUAUUGGUCUCAUAAUUCCCAAAUUUAUGAAACCAAAUAGCUUGUAAGUUUCUAGUCAUUGCAUUUUGAGAUGAGUGGGGUUUGACAGCAAUAUUCUUUAUAGCACUGUGUAAAAUGGCAUUAGUAAAAUUGCCAUACCUUUAAUAUUUCUUUAUAAAUGUGUCAUAUUUUUAAGCAAAUGUCAUUUACAUUUAAAUCGUGUGUCACUUUAUAUAUAUACUUGCUCGGAUUAUGUGACAUUUGAUCUCCAAUUAGAGACAUAUACUACAUCUGUGGAUUUGAAUUUAACAUGACAAACAUUUUCCCCACACACAUAAUUUUGACAGAAAGCCAAACUUCAAGUCACCUGUAAUUUAAAAAUCCAAGAUAUGUAGUAUUUAUGUUUAUUAUAUAUGUGCACAUAUAUUAUUUUGUCCUUUAAUAAUAGAAUUUAUGAAAAAUAUCUUUGGAGUUCUUAUUUUAUGCGCUGAACAUAUACCACAUUUCACCAUUUCUGUUUUUGCAUUUAGAUUUCUUGCAACUUUUACUUUCAUUACUCUGAAGGACACGUAAAUGCAUGAUCACUUUCAUUCACAUUGUCAAUUAUUUUAUUGACAAAUUAUAUCAACUUAUUACUAUCAAUUUAUGAGAAUCUAAUUUUCUCCUACGCUAAACAACUAAUAUGCAUAUAUCCAUGUGAAUAUCUAUGUAUAUAUAUAAUUUUACCACUGUGAUAAGUAGCAAAUAGGGGAAACUUUGGUAGUAAGUUUUUUGGCAUCUUUAAUUAUCUGCAGUUUGAAUAUUUUUUCAUAAAUUUUUGGCAUUUAAAUGUUUUGAUGUUUUUGGUAGUUAUUUUAUAGCUUGAAAUGUGAUCGAUACAUGGAUUAACAAAAUGACUGAAGUCUUACUUAUCAAUUACAAGGACCAAAUUCCCCAAUUAUAAAAACAGAAUGGCUGAAUGACAAUAAAAACAGGACCCAACAUCAUGCUGCCUACAAACCCCUACACUUAAGACUCAGGGAGGAAUGGGAUGGGAAGGACCAGGACACCUCCUGUGAGAGAAUGCCUUCUAUAUGUGACAGGGAGCCACCCCCAUGAAAUCUCAACAAUAUGGUCUCACAUCAGGAUAGGUUUUAUUUAUUUUAUUUUAUAGAAUUUAUGAUUUUGUAAUUUUUAUCUAUUGUACUAUUUUAUUAAAUGUUACUGGAUAACUUACAGUUUCACGUUAUUAUAAUUGAACAUUUUCCAUAGUAAUUUCUAAUUGGUUGCUGAUGGCAUUUAGAGAAUCUCUUGUUUAAUACAUCUUUGAAUAACCUUUAAAAACUAUUAAAAUCAGAAUAACCAUGGGAUAGUUCUUUUUAAAAUUUAUUGUAAGUUUUUAUUCUUUCUACAUACCAACCACAGUCCCCCUCCUUCCCAUCUUCCUGUUUUUCCCACAACCCAACCCCCAUAUACUCCUCAGAAAGGGUAGGGGCUCCCAUGUGGAGCUAACAAAGCCUGGCACAUUAAGUUGAGGCAGGACCCAGCCCCUCCCACCGCAUUGAGGUUAGCAAGGCAUCCCAUCACAGAGAAUGGGCUCCAAAAAGCCAGCUCACGCACCAGGAAUCCUGGUCCCACUGCCAGGGUCCCCUCAAACAGACCAAGCUACACAUAUGAACUUUCUUGAUAAACUAUACUAUCAUUUAUACAGAUACAACAGUAGGCAUCCAAUUUUAUUUAGGUUACUUUUGGAAGCAGUUUAGAUUCACAACAAAAUAGAUGAAUGGAAGAUGUAAACUUCCCUUAAAUAUUAUGCAUCCAAAUAGUUUCCAUUAUUAUCAACUUUCUAAACCUUAAUUUUGUUACAAAUGAUGGACAUGCAUUAACACAAACACAUCCUCUAUUACCCAAAGUCCACAGGUAACAUUAGAGAUUACUCCUGGUAUUGUUCAAUCGAUGGGUUUUGAAAAAUGUGUGAUCAUGUAAAUCCAACAUUGUAGCAUUGUACAGAAACAUUUACCUCUUGCAAAAAUUUUCCUGUUUGACCUGUUCAUCCUUUUAUACUAAAUCACUUGACAAUGAAUUUUAAUUUUUUAUUUUUAAAUUAAAAAUAUUAUAUGUAUGUGUUUAUGUACAGCACAAUAAUUCAAUGGACAUAUGUCUUGUGGAAUAUCAAAUGGAGCAAUUAACAUUAUGCAUCAAAUAUAUUUCAUUUCUAUGUGUUGGGAAACUACAGAUUCUCAUCAUUAUUUUGAAACGUAUCAUAAAAAGUUGUAGGCAUCAAGUUACUUUUCUUAUCUAAGACUCAAACUAAUUCUUAUCUAAUAGCAUUGGUAACUGUUUUAUAAAGUCUUCCCUCCCUUCACUAUCCUACCCUUACUCUGCAUUUCUUAGUCCUAGUGACCAGCAUUCCACUUUCUUACAUUAACUUGAUGUGAGGCUUCCACAGUAAGCAAAAAGAACACACUAAUUCUCUUCUCCAAAUCUAUCCAUGUUACUAAAAAUAAAACAUCUUACUUUUUAAAGGCUGAAUUAUAGUCUAUUGUGUGUUUUUAUCAAAACCUUAUCUAUUCAGUUACCUGAUAGUAGACUUCUUGUUGGAUCAGACUAAUGUAAUGAGCAAGGGAGGAGAAUGUUACUUUGAUAUUCAUUUCCUUUGCCAGCAUUGCAACUGCUUGAUCACGUGGUAGUUUUCAGUGUUGUGAAAUCCCACUGUGGUGAAAUCCAUGGUGGCUGUAGUAGUUCAUGUUUCUUCUAGCAGUGUACAAGAGCCCCUUUCUCAUUUUCUUCUUUUAUUACAUAUAAAUUAAACACUCACCUCUCCUUUCAAGACUGCUUUUGCUGUAUUACAAAUUUGGUGCUUAUUUUUAUUUUCAAUAUUUCAAUAUCUCAAAUAUUUUAAUUAUGAAAUUUGAUCUUCAUCUUAUAUGUUAUAUAGCAGUAUGAUAUUGACGAUACCAAAACUUAAGGACUUUCCAGCUAUUUUCCGUGUAUUGAUUUCUACUUUUAACUUCAUUGACAUAUGCUAGAAAACUCUGUAUCAUUUCUAUUUUCCCAAUCAGUUAAUUGUGCUCUAUGACCUGGGAAUAUAUACUAGUUACUACAUAUAUUUGUAUGUUAAUAAAUACAUAUUUAAAGACCUC
RNAcentral lists this long non-coding RNA (6482 nucleotides) under Cricetulus griseus (Chinese hamster). RNAcentral's name for it is "lncRNA (ENSCGRG00015039386.1)". The record is from RNAcentral. Lineage: Eukaryota; Metazoa; Chordata; Mammalia; Rodentia; Cricetidae.